CAUACACAUGAGAAAAAAUGUAAGCGGUACACUUAAAAUUUCCCUUCCUCCCCACCUUUCCCCAGCUCCCUGCUCUGGAGACACCCACCUGUGAUUCCUGUGUCAUCUCCCGGCGCUGGCAGGAGGGAGGGGCAGGAGGGGAGACGGCAAGGGAAGCAGGGCCCCCGGGGGAGAUGCUGUGGGCAUCCAGGUGAGAGGCGGUGGAGAAGGUGAGGUGCAGCCCAGUAUGAGAGCAGCGGAAGGGGAGCUUCUAGAAAGGCGUCCAGGCUUCCGGCCCUGGGAAUUGAGUGGAUAAUGAUGCUCAGAGUUGGGCGAGUUGGGUUUGGGGUGUGCGGCAGAUGCGCCGGUGGGCUGUCGGAAGCUCACGUCCACUGUAGAAAGUGGUGGGGGCUGGCAUGUAACCCCACGAACCUGGGCAUCUAGACGGGGCGACGAGGGACAGCGUGGGGACGGGCGGAGGGAGUCCUGCGCCAGAACCUGGGGACCACCAGACACCGGAGGAAGACUCUUCCUCCAGGGAGAACAGCCAGGGUUAAAAGGGGCAGACCCACUUGCCUGGAGAUGGGGUGGGGGGUGACCUCAGAGGGCUCCGUCUGGCAUGUGCUUCUGCGACGUGGGCUCUGUCCGUGGUGGGAAGCCUGGUGUAAAGGUUGAAGCAGAGUCUCCCAGCGCCUUGCCCCACGCUGGGCCCCAGCCACUGCGCCAGGGCGCUGGGCCCGGGGAGGCGGGUGGACGGGUCUCGCCACCAGCACCGCAUCAAGAGAUGCUGAUGGAGGCUUUCCUGGCACAGGAGCUCCGCUGUCCUCCAGGGCCUGGGACAAGCCCUAGCUGGACUCUGGUGAGGAGGGUCAGCAGUGGUCAGUGCAGAUGAGACUCUGAGCAGCUAAAUGCGGGGAGCCGUCACCAGCACGGAAGGCCCCCAGCCCCAGGCCCCCGGUUCAGAUUCCCGCCAGACUCAGCCACUUGGGUUUCUUUGCAGUUUGAGAGUCGCAGAUUGCUGGAGCUGAAGGGACCUCAGAGGCCACCCUGGUUACCUUCUCAUUUACACCCGAGGCCCGUGGGGCCCGGCAGGGUGAUUGCCCAAGCCCCCCGCAGGACCAGGAGCCACAGCAGGUCAUCUGCCUCCAGAUGCAGGAUCGGGCUGCCUGUGCGAACGUGCAUUUGCACACAUGCUUCCUAAGGCGAUGAAACGCUGUACAGACGGAACUGAUGGUUACUUUCCUCCGAUCCCUCCCCCUUUACCUUCUCCAGGUCUCCUUGGCCGGCUUCUUCUUCGGAAACACUUUCCCGAAGCCAGGCCUCAUGAAGGGAGGUGGGGCCCUUGGAGGUGGCAUGUCAGUGUCAGAGCCUCCUAUUGAAAAAGUCCUUCGUCCUUUGACGAAUGCUCAGCAGCCUUCCCAGCCGAGUCCAGGGGGCCCCUGGGCCCAUUCGCUGCCUGGGAAGCUACGGAAGGGAGCUGUGCGGGUCAGUAGCUGCCCCCCGCCGCGCCCCUGCCCCUAGCGAUGAGAGGCCAGAACCCAACUGGGCAAAAAACUGCAGCCUGUCAAGGCUGGGCGAUCAGGGGCCAGGAGCCCCAGCUCCAGUGUUGGUGUUAAAGAGUCCGUAACGGAACACAAGCAAACCUGAGCUUCAAAGAAGCACAAUUCGUAGAGGGCAAGGGGGGAGAUUAUUGAAACACACAGCAGCGUGGAGGGAGCUCAGGCUUGUUGGGCGGAGCGCAAGAAGCCAGAUGAAAAAGAGUGCACCUGUGUGGUUCCACAUCUAGAAUUCCAGGCUUCCAGAGAGGGUACCCGGCGGGGGGGGCGGUCAGCGGAGGGAAGGGGCAGGUGGUCCCCCAGAGGUGCGAGGGCCGGGGACCGGGGCAUCCGCACACAGCGGGUGACCAGGGUGGUUUAACAGGAUGUGUGCACGUCAGAACCCGUCAGACCGUGUUCUUGAAACGCCUGCAGCUUGUUCCAUGUCGGUGAGCCGUCUUAUUGAUGUGGGUACGUCUAUGCAUGCAAAGCUGUUCAAAAUUCAGAAUUAAGGGGAGAACUCUUGAAGCAGAAGCAGCAGGCCAGAAUACAGACUGUUAAAACAUGCCGUGGGUUUUCUAAACUUUAGCCGCUGAUACUUCACUUUUCUCCGAAAACCCCAGUCGGAAGAGUCAGGGGAGACUUUAAGUAAACUCGUCUGUUCUUCCUCACAUGUUUGCUGCUUCUCGUUCGGCUGUGAUGUGGUUUUUCGAAGCCUCCGGAGGAUCUUGAGUGAUGACAUAUCACACGUUCGGCCUGAGCUCAGGCCGGUUCCCACGGCCCCAGCCCAGGCGCCACGGCCUCCGCGGGGUCCAGAUGCCUGUCCCGCGGACCUCGAGAGGCAGGCAGGCAGGCAGGCCGCCAGCUGGCGGCGGCCCGAGCUUGUGUCUGCACGAGGCGCGGAGCAGCCACCAGAGGCUGCUGUGUCUUUGCAGUUCCUCCAAGCUCCUGCACCGCUUCAGCAGCCUCUGUUUUCUGGGAGGGUGUCUCAUGCGUUUUGCAUCUGAGAAAAAGCAAGUUCAAGGCUUAAACUGAUGAGAGGAAGAGCCACACAUUCAAACCGCGGGCAGAGGAAGAAACACAGAUUCUCGAAAUUUAAAGAUAAGAACGGAGUUCCUGUCAUGGCUCAGUGCAACGCCGGAUCCUUAACCCACUGAGCCAGGCCAGGGAUCAAACCAGCAUCCUCGUGGCUACUAGUUGGGCUCUUAACCUGCUGAGCCAUAGCGGGAACUCUGGUGCGACCUUUUUAGGUCACUGCCCUGGCCCAGCCUCAGCUUCCCACCUACAACAGGUGGCUGGAGCGCGACAGCAGAGGGAGCCUUUCCACUUGCCAGCUCUGGUUCAUUCAGCCAUCUGCCAGCUGAAAGCCGGGGCCGGAGCAGACUGCACCACGGACGACCUUCUGACGCCUCUUCCUUGUGUCCUUCUCAAGGUGGCCCCCAAACAGAGCGCUGAGGACCACCCAGAGGGCAGCAGUGUCUCUGAGUAAGUACGGGGGACGUCCCAGCCACCCUGGCAGCCUCCCGGUCCCCUCCCUGCCCUCACCAUCCACCCAGAAACCCUGUGCAGUGGCUCAUCGGUGAAGGAGGCCCAGUCCUUGGCCUUCAGGAGUUACAGCCCAGAGGGGUGACCGCGGGGUCCCCCGUCAUCCUAUGACAGUGUUAGCAGGAAACACAUGUAAGACCCCUGGAAAGUGUCAGCUAAGGACCUCAGCCCCAGAGGCCAGGCCUCCUCUGUCUGCACAGCCCUGGGCUGCGGGAGGGUUCCAGGGCCCCGGGAACGGCAGCCCCAGGAGGCUGGGCCGGGCUGACCUUGGGCCCCUGGCCCAUCCCGGCCUUGACUUUCACUCGUCCCCCGGUCACUGGGAUGUGGGACCGUGGUGCUCAAGACCACGGAGGUGACAGGUUGUGAAGAUUCUGGCUCAUCAGCUAUUUUUAUUACCAACUUCAAAUGGUUUCGGGGCCAGAACCUUGCUGGUUUUCCCACAUUCAGCAAACAUUUGCAGAGGCCCCUCCCGGAAGAGCUGGAUCCCUGCAGGUGGGCUCAGGGGAGGUCUGAGAGGGGGCAGGAGCAGCCCCAGGGCUCGUGGAGGGGUUGGUGUUUAAAACGGCUGGGAGUUCCCGUUGUGGCUCAGUUCAUAACCCACCAAACCACAUGGGAACUCCCUAUACCUCCAUUGUAGAGAAAACAGAAUUGUGGCUGAGCUGGAAUUCAAACUGGGUGUUUCUACUGCCAGGACCCUGCCCUCCAGCUGUGCGGGCACCACCUUCCUCAGGGACAAGGUCUGGAAAAGGGCAGGGCCUGCUGGCGGAAGAGACACAGGAAGUGUCCAGGGCAGAGGUUUUCGGUGUUGGUUUUAGGAUGGAUCCGAAGUCCCUACAGGGACCACUGUGGUUGUCCAGCGGGGAUGUGGAGUUUGACGGUAACAUCUUGCCUCUUGUGACUGUGUUUCUUACCCACAGAGCCCCAGGCAGCUGCUACGAGAGGCCCGAGAGGCCAUCCACCAUCACCUACGACUACUCCGAGGAAGAGCUGAUGGCCAGCAUUGAGCAGGAGUACUGCUGCUGAGGCCGGUGCUGCAGCAGCCCCGCUGUCACCCAGCGGCCAGUUUGCUGCUCCUCCCAGACCUGGCCCCACCUGCCCUGCCCAAGGCUCUAGGUGGAGCUGAGCCCCCUCCAACAUGCAGUUACUCCUGGAUCUGUCACAGCUGACCCUUUCAAGUCCACAUUCAGAUGGGCCUGAAUGGGGCUGGCUGCUGCCCAUUGUGCUUAUUGGCAAGAGGCGGUCAGCUCUGUGGACACGGGCCAGAGGGAGGGUGCAGGUGCUGCCCCACAGGCGCGGGGCCAGGUGACCUGCCACAUACCUGCCCCUCCCCUCAGUCUCUGGGGAGAGUGGGCUACAAGAUGCUCCUGGAUCUUGAAAUGCUUCUCCUUUCUGAUGGCCCACUGGCCACCUGCUCAGGAGACCCUUGAGCUGAAUGAAAGUCUUGGGGCCUCUAACACCCCUGCCGCAGCGCCUCAGGGACGUUCCCUGCAGCAGGUGCACCCAGCUGGAGGGAGCUGGAGGGAGUCACCCUCCAUGCCGCAAAGGAAUCGCUGAAGAUGCUACUGAAAUGAAAACAUUCAGAUUCUGUGCGUCUGGAGGCCUGGGAGUCUGCAUGUCUCACCAGCUCCCGGGUGAGACCCAGGCUGCCAGAUCCCAGCCACCCUUGGAGCAGCGAGGAUUGAGUCUGAGCUUUAGGCUCCAGGUAAUGCUUCCCUGGAGCUGGAGGCUGCUCAGAGCCACAGCCCAGCUGCCUCCACAAAGAGAGGCCUGUGCUGUGGCCAGUGUGGAGGGACAGGAGCUGGAACCCCCCCGUCUGAUCCUUGCUCUGUCUCUAACUUGCAGUCCCCUUCCCUCUCUGACUCAGCUUCCCUUUCUAGAAAGGGAGCCCUGGAGGCUCUUCGGGUGUUGUCUCCCCACCCCCCCAUCUAGGACGACACACUCCCAGGCUUCCCUGGUCUCUGGGCACAGGACCACCUUCCUGCCCAGGUGGAGCCCAGCACCCCCUGGACAGGCUCUUCAGGGCCGCCUGCUCUUCCCACCCAGGAAGAAAGUAGAAAUCUCACAGCCGCAGGCCAGAAGAGCCUCAGAACCUUCCCAGCCGCCAAAGGAGAAAGCCAGCCAAGGAUGCCCUGUGAAUGAGGCAGGGCCCGGAGAAGUGCAGCCUGGCCGGAAGGCUGCGCUCAGCAGGCUCGGAGUGUCAGAGCGGCCGGGAAGCAGCUCCUCUGGGGCAGCUGGCUGCGGUGUCGGUACAUAAAGCCUCGUGGAAGGCAUGGCCGUGUCCCAGCCAGAACAGGUCUCAGCUUGUCUGGUGUUAACCACUCACACAGCCGCCUCUGGGGCAUCGCCCACCAGCAAAGGGGCAAGAUGGUCUCAGAAACCGAGGAACGACCCCUUGGCCCUGUCCCCAGACCCAUGGGCCUGUUGCUAAAGGGGGCAAACAGGUGUUUCCACGAACCUUUAAGACUUGGCAACUGUGCCUUUGAUCAGAUGGUCCAGGAGUGGGAGAUUUUAACCUGCAAGUCAGAAGAUGGGGCGCUGGAGCCUCCCACUAAAUGCCCCUGAGGGUUGGCUCAGAAUGUCCCCAAAGCAAGAGCUAUUUCUCAUCCAAGCCCAGACCUUUCAUUUUGAUAUGGAGAUUAAAGCCAAUACUAUUUCGAGAACACAAAUACUUCUUUUAACAGAAGUUAUGACUUUCUCACCACUAGAUGGAUCAGACCUUGAAUUUAAUGAUGUGAAAUUGGAAACCUCAUCCAACCCUUAAUGAGAUAAAAGCACGAAGAACAAAAAAAGCUUCCUGAAGUUACAUUUUAUGUCACUGUCAAGGCGAAUGCACUUCAUCAGAGCUAAGAAGUCAAAGCGGUUGUUCUCAGAUCUUUUUAUUUUUAUUUUUUGAUUCCCUGAAUUCAGGAACAGUGUCUUCUGAACAGCGGCUUGCCAAAAAAGCAGCGUGUCCCAGCCCGUGAUGCGGAGAUGGGCGAUGGACGGAGGACGCUUGGUGGUGGCAGGG
RNAcentral lists this long non-coding RNA (6066 nucleotides) under Sus scrofa (pig). RNAcentral's name for it is "lncRNA (ENSSSCG00045027557.1)". Lineage: Eukaryota; Metazoa; Chordata; Mammalia; Artiodactyla; Suidae. The record is from RNAcentral.